Molecule: ribosomal RNA, 460 nt
Filed under: uncultured bacterium
Lineage: Bacteria
Description: partial 16S ribosomal RNA
Rfam family: Bacterial small subunit ribosomal RNA
Source: RNAcentral
CCUACGGGAGGCAGCAGUGAGGAAUAUUUGUCAAUGGGCGAGAGCCUGAACCAGCCAAGUAGCGUGAAGGAUUACUGCCCUACGGGUUGUAAACUUCUUUUAUAAAGGAAUAAAGUUAGGCACGUGUGCCCUCUUGUGUGUACCUUAUGAAUAAUGAUCGGCUAACUCCGUUCCAGCAGCAGCGGUAAUACGGAGGAGCCGAGCGUUAUCCUGAUUUAUUGGGUUUAAAGGGAGCGUAGAUGGGUUGUUAAGUCAGGUGUGAAAGUUUGCGGCUCAACCGUAAAAUUGCAAUUGAUACUGGCAGUCUUGAGUACAGUAGAGGUAGGCGGAAUUCGUGGUGUAGCGGUGAAAUGCUUAGAUAUCACGAAGAACUCCGAUUGCGAAGGCAGCUUACUGGACUGCAACUGACAUUGAUGCUCGAAAGUGUGGGUAUCAAACAGGAUUAGAUACCCGUGUAGUC